Molecule: transfer RNA, 75 nt
Filed under: Patescibacteria group bacterium
Lineage: Bacteria
Description: tRNA-Arg
Rfam family: tRNA
About the family: Transfer RNA (tRNA) molecules are approximately 80 nucleotides in length.
Source: RNAcentral
GCACCCGUAGUUCAACGGAUAGAAUAUAGGAUUGCGGAUCCUAAGAUCGAGGUUCGAUUCCUCGCGGGUGCACAA